This 719-nucleotide non-coding RNA is filed under the name Strongyloides venezuelensis. The record is from RNAcentral. Lineage: Eukaryota; Metazoa; Nematoda; Chromadorea; Rhabditida; Strongyloididae.
GGAGGUUUCUGACCCUUCUGAGUUUGAUAAUGGCUCUAAUCAAGUUAAAAUAGUGUUAUGCAAUUUGCAUUCACGGAGUGGACAAUAGUAUUUAAUCCCGGUAGAUAUAUCGUUUGCUAAAAAGGUGUACCAGAAAGAUCGGAUAGACCCCUUAAACUUUUACUUUAAAUGUGUUAUUCUCAUGAUUUUUUAAAAUUACCGUAACUUUGUUUUUACAACUAUACAGUGCAAUGUAGUAGUUCUUUUGUGGUUCUGACUUGAGAGAUAAGAUUGGAUUAAUAGACCCGGAUUAGUACCCGGUUAUUCCAAAUUAAUAAGAUUUCGGGAGUAAAGUAAUAUUUAAACCGGAAGUAUAUUGGGCGCACCCUAAAUUCUCCUUGGAGCUUGAGUAGUAAUCGAGAUCCCUCGUUAUCAGCUUAGACUAUUGGCGCAUGUAUGUUCGUCUAAGAUCUAUCUUAAAGAUAUUGUUCGCAAGAGAUAAAUAAUCUAGUAGGACAGAUAAAUACCUGGUACAUGUUUAAGUGUGUAAUUUGGGCUACACUGCCUGAUGGCUGGUUCGGAUUGUCGAGAGAGAUUUUGGCAUGAAGUUGUAAAGGACAGUAAAGCGCUGUUUAAUGGGUGCUUGAAGAAUACCUAGGGAGGGUACAAAUCAUCCAUCAAUUGCCCACAGGGGAGUAAGUUGUAGUAAAGUAGGUGUAGGGGAAUCUGCACCUGAGUGU